GCGAAAAUAGCUCAGCUGGUAGAGCGCCACCUUGCCAAGGUGGAGGUCGCGGGUUCGAGCCCCGGUUUUCGCU
This 73-nucleotide transfer RNA is filed under the name Bacteroidota bacterium. RNAcentral's name for it is "Bacteroidetes bacterium (anaerobic digester metagenome) tRNA-Gly". It matches the Rfam family "tRNA". Rfam says of the family: Transfer RNA (tRNA) molecules are approximately 80 nucleotides in length. Their secondary structure includes four short double-helical elements and three loops (D, anti-codon, and T loops). The record is from RNAcentral. Lineage: Bacteria; Pseudomonadati; Bacteroidota.